GCUUACGGCCACACCGCCUGGUUCACGCCCCGAUCUCGUUUGAUCUCGGAAGCUAAGGUAGGUUGGGCCUGGUUAGUACUUGGAUGGGAGACCGCCUGGGAAUACCAGGUGCUGUAAGCU
Molecule: ribosomal RNA, 120 nt
Organism: Scophthalmus maximus (turbot)
Lineage: Eukaryota; Metazoa; Chordata; Actinopteri; Pleuronectiformes; Scophthalmidae
Source: Ensembl